AUUGAACGCUGGCGGCAGGCCUAACACAUGCAAGUCGAGCGGAUGAAGGGAGCUUGCUCCUGGAUUCAGCGGCGGACGGGUGAGUAAUGCCUAGGAAUCUGCCUGGUAGUGGGGGAUAACGUCCGGAAACGGGCGCUAAUACCGCAUACGUCCUGAGGGAGAAAGUGGGGGAUCUUCGGACCUCACGCUAUCAGAUGAGCCUAGGUCGGAUUAGCUAGUUGGUGGGGUAAAGGCCUACCAAGGCGACGAUCCGUAACUGGUCUGAGAGGAUGAUCAGUCACACUGGAACUGAGACACGGUCCAGACUCCUACGGGAGGCAGCAGUGGGGAAUAUUGGACAAUGGGCAAAAGCCUGAUCCAGCCAUGCCGCGUGUGUGAAGAAGGUCUUCGGAUUGUAAGGCACUUUAAGUUGGGAGGAAGGGCAGUAAGUUAAUACCUUGCUGUUUUGACGUUACCAACAGAAUAAGCACCGGCUAACUUCGUG
RNAcentral lists this ribosomal RNA (484 nucleotides) under uncultured bacterium. RNAcentral describes it as "partial 16S ribosomal RNA". It matches the Rfam family "Bacterial small subunit ribosomal RNA", at positions 30 to 507 of the family's 1533-position model. The record is from RNAcentral.